Molecule: transfer RNA, 63 nt
Filed under: Branchipolynoe segonzaci
Lineage: Eukaryota; Metazoa; Annelida; Polychaeta; Phyllodocida; Polynoidae
Description: Branchinotogluma segonzaci tRNA-Trp
Source: RNAcentral
AAGAUCUUAAGUUAAGUAAAACUAAGGGUCUUCAAAACCCUAAAUGGGAUACCCCAGAUCUUG